This 2869-nucleotide long non-coding RNA is filed under the name Mytilus galloprovincialis (Mediterranean mussel). Lineage: Eukaryota; Metazoa; Mollusca; Bivalvia; Mytilida; Mytilidae. The record is from RNAcentral.
GGGAAAUUUAUAUAAUUUGAAAAUUUAUAAGGGCAAAUUUCAGGCAAACAAUAGUAGAAUUUUUAUGCCAGCACCGGAGUUAUGGCUACUAACGAUGUGAUAUCCUCGGAAAUUUUGUCUUUAUUGGGUGAAUCACAAACACACAACCACUUCAUUCAUAACAAUUUAUUUAAUUCAUCAUUUUAAAUAUACUACAAGGACACAUUAUAAUGAUAGUAUAUAGUAAAAUCUGAACCCACGUGACAAUGAUUCACAAAACAUCACAUGAGUUGUGUACUAGUAAGAAUACAAUAUGUAUUUGUUUUAGCGUAAAACUAUAAUACUUUAAGGUAAGAUCGUUUAUAGAUACUCAUAAAACUUCUACAUCUUUUGAAAAGUAAAUUAAAGAAUUUCAUCAUCGUCACCUAUUAUUCAUUUUACUAGUAAACAUGGUAAAGUGUAAGACAUUUUUUAAAAUAUUAUAUAUGCUUAACAAAAAGUUACUUGGUAUAAGUUAAGCUGUGUCAAUGAAAAUUAGCGAAACGCGGAUUUCAGUAUCUUGAUAUAUAUUUCUCGUGUAUUUGAACCAAUGCGUAAAAGCACAUAACACUAUAUAUUCGUAUCUAAAAAUAUAAAGUCAAGGUAUAUCAAUUAUAUGCAUGUACAUGAUGUACAUUUAAUCCUUCCUGGUAUAAUGUAGGCGUAUAUAUAUAUAUGUUAAAAGGAUGUAAACAUACUUACUACAGUUUAAGUUAUAUUAUAUUAUAAGCUAUCUCUCUUUCUGUAUCAGCGAUUUUUUUUUAUAUUACUAAGCAUACAAAUAUUUAGAUGUAUAAUUGCCAAUGAGAUACUUUAUGGUGGCGGAUCCAGAAAUUUUCAUAAGGGAAGCCCACUAGCUGACUGCUUAAGAAGGAGCUAAAUUUAGUCAUGCUUCAGUGAUGCCCUAUUUAAUUAAUCUUAAAUUUCCACAAAAAAUAUCCACCAAAGGGGGGGAUCUAAUUUCAAAUACAAUUAAAUAGGAAUUUGCAUCUGUCAAGAUACCAAGUGAAAAUCUUAAGGUUAAAGUAUGCAUAUAAAAAUGUAAUUGCAAAUCAACAAGAUAACAAAUUAUAUCUGUAAGCUGACGUACUUAUCGUGAGAACUACCAGUUCAAACUUUAUAUCUUGCAAUUCGAAACACGCGAUUUUCUUUUAAGUAAUACAUUUAACCCGAAUAUUCUAAUCAUGAUAAUCCGCUGCUCGACGAUGGUUACACCUCGACUACUCCUCGUGAUGAGACAUACAUUUUUGUAGGAACUGAAUUAUUCGUGUAACGAUAAUGUUGUAAUUCUUGUAAUACAUAAUCUCUACUUAAUAUUACUGACAAUUGAACAAAGAUUGCUACGGUUUAAAAACUCUUUUUUUUAAGAAACUUGUUGACUAUAUCUGUGUCUUGUGAUAUACAUUAUUGUACGGGGUAUUAUCAGAAUUUGCCAUCAGUUUCUGCUAUUCUGGGUUUUCCACGGCAUAUCACUGUUAUUAUCUCAACGGUCCCAUCUACUCUUGUUUUAAUGAUUGUGUUAAUAUUUAAAUGCUAAAGAAUGAUUGGUACAGAAUAGAGAAGAAUAAAUGGGCUUGACAGAGAAAUGAAUAUGGAAUCAUGGACAUGGGGUGCUAAAAUAUGAAAAUAAUGAAUAAUGAAAAUAAUACUAAACGAAUAGAAGAAACAAAAUGAAUUAAAUUAGAUGAAAAAAAUCAUAAAAAUAAAGACAAACCCUCUCACCAAUCCAGACUAACACGAUAAUGCACAUUGUAUAACCCAAAAUGACUAUAGGAAGCUAAAACAACCCUAUAUUCUUCCGCCAACUGCAUAGUUUAUUACUAUAAAAAUAAUUUCAGCUUCUCCUCUUUUCGUGUUCUAAAACUUGUUUUAUUCCCCAAUUCUUCUUAUUUUUCUUAAAAAAUAUAUAAUAUUGCUUGGUUAUUAAUUUUAACAUUAUAUGGUAUCUUUUUCAGAAAAUCACCGUUAAAGAGCUAUGGGUAAAGGUGAAGGAGGCGGGGCUAAAGGUUGUCUGUCAGCUAUCAUAUGGUUUCUUCUUAUAUGGUUUGUGGCGUGGCCAUUAGCAUUUUUACUAGCAUGGUUUUACAUAUUCCUGUUGCCAUUUGGAGCAUGCAUAGACCCUAUCAGAUCAAUUAAUGAACAAUUAGUGCGCAUAUUGCAGCUUCCAUUGACAUGCGCACAGAAUAUGAUAGAUAUGAAACCUAUUUGUUGAUAUUUUUCAAUGGAAUAUGCUUAAAGUGACGAAGAUUUCAUGUUUGUUUUGUUAUAUGUAAAUAUUUGUUCUUAUAUUUAUAUAAAUAUUUGUUAUUCGCAUUAUUUAUGUAUUGCAUGUGUUAUUAUAUUUUUAUUAAUUAUCAUCUUAAUAAAUUAUAUUUAUUUUAUUUUCGGUGUUUUAACGCCAAUUUUUUAGUUCCGCUGUUGGGCUAUUUUCGUCGCAGCCAUUUUUUUGCGGAGGAAGCCGGAGUGCCCGGAGAAAACACCGACCUUCGAUAGGAAAACUGACAACCCUAGUCAAUUAAGAUUGGAGUCGCAUGCACUUGCACGAGCGGUGUUAGCUCACAACCUCAGUAUUGACUGCCUUGUGAUUACAGUAGUAACUACUUAGACCACUCGACCACCGAGACCCCCUAAAUAAAUAAAAAGUAUGUUUGCUCUUCAUUCUAAUAAGCAAUCAAUUUUGAUCAUUACGGAUGCACAUGUUUUAUUUACACUUUAAUAUAUAUAUAAUGAGAUGUGGUAUUAUUAUCAAUGAGACAGCUAUCCACCAGAGUAAAGUGAAUGUAAUAUUAUCGGCAACAGUACAGCCUUCAUCAAAGAGAAAAUCCAUACCGUAUAGACAUUUAUAAAUGCC